Non-coding RNA from Erinaceus europaeus (western European hedgehog), 165 nucleotides. The record is from Rfam. Lineage: Eukaryota; Metazoa; Chordata; Mammalia; Eulipotyphla; Erinaceidae.
ACACACUAAGAAAUACAAAGAGGGAAGUAUGACUGCUAUGACAGCAAAAACAAGCAAAUAUCUCCAGAGGGGAUUAGUCACAUUGCUUCAAAGUUAACAAAAACAAAGAGAGCAGAGGCAGCUUCACUGGGAACAACACCCGUCCAUCAAUGAGGAUGAGCUAAU